Molecule: long non-coding RNA, 887 nt
Organism: Ictalurus punctatus (channel catfish)
Lineage: Eukaryota; Metazoa; Chordata; Actinopteri; Siluriformes; Ictaluridae
Source: Ensembl
CUUGCUUACAAAACAAACAAACAAAACAAAACAAAACAACAACAACAACAAAAAACCAUGAGCUGUCAAUGUCCAAGUAUUAAUGUCUGCAUGUGUCACAUUCGAAUUCCAGUCGUAGCUGACUCUUACGUCACGUGUUCGCGAAGAAUUUUCUAAUCAACUGUUACGUCUUUGAAUCAAUCCGUCUAUAUAUUAGCAAGCAAUCAAUUUCAAAAACUUCUAGCAAGCAAUUUUGACAGAGACUGAUCAACAUAUUCUGUACGAAAAUGUCAGAAGUCAUAAAUUUAUUUGAACUUCUAAAGCAGUGCGACGACACUUACGAUAAGCUGUUCACUCUGCUGUACAGUAUCCUCUGUAUGCUGGAGCGCCUUGAAGCCGAGAGAGAGGCAGCGGAUGGAAGGAAAGCGGACGUUGGCCACGAUGUCGCUGAGUCGCAGCCGGAUGAGAAAAGCUCGAGUGUUGAUGAGCAGAAGACGGCGUUGGAGAAACUGUCCAGCGGUACAGAGCUGCUGAGCCUCUCCACCUCGGACAGGAGCGGACAAGUGGAGGACAGCGAGGAAGGAGUGUCCAAGUGUCUCAUUCAAGACUUGGUAAACAAGAAUCAGGAGCUCAAGGAGGAGAUAUACAGCCUGAAGAAAGAAGUGGAGACGCUUAAAAAUCAGCUUAGUCAGAUCUUGCUAAACCAACAAGAUCGUCUGGUCUUUGUAUCUGGUGGAGCCCUACACCAGCUAACUGGCCAGGCCCAGUCCCAGGUCAGCAGGGAGGUUGAGCAUGUCCCAGAGACACUGGAAGCUCUGACGGACGUAGGGGAACUACAGAAGAAGCAAAGAAAUAAAAAAAAGUAAACAAACGCUGAAAAGCGGGAAAAGAAGAAACAAAAGACCAAA